RNAcentral lists this ribosomal RNA (497 nucleotides) under uncultured bacterium. RNAcentral describes it as "partial 16S ribosomal RNA". It matches the Rfam family "Bacterial small subunit ribosomal RNA", at positions 28 to 507 of the family's 1533-position model. The record is from RNAcentral.
GAUGAACGCUGGCGGCGUGCCUAAUACAUGCAAGUCGAGCGAACAGACGAGGAGCUUGCUCCUCUGACGUUAGCGGCGGACGGGUGAGUAACACGUGGAUAACCUACCUAUAAGACUGGGAUAACUUCGGGAAACCGGAGCUAAUACCGGAUAAUAUAUUGAACCGCAUGGUUCAAUAGUGAAAGACGGUUUUGCUGUCACUUAUAGAUGGAUCCGCGCCGCAUUAGCUAGUUGGUAAGGUAACGGCUUACCAAGGCGACGAUGCGUAGCCGACCUGAGAGGGUGAUCGGCCACACUGGAACUGAGACACGGUCCAGACUCCUACGGGAGGCAGCAGUAGGGAAUCUUCAGCAAUGGGCGAAAGCCUGACGGAGCAACGCCGCGUGAGUGAUGAAGGUCUUCGGAUCGUAAAACUCUGUUAUUAGGGAAGAAAAAAUGUGUAAGUAACUAUGCACGUCUUGACGGUACCUAAUCAGAAAGCCACGGCUAACUACGUG